UAAUACCCGCAGCCCAAGUGGUGAUCGCUUUUAUUGAGCCUAAAGCGUCCGUAGCCUGUCUGCUAAAUCCCUGAGUAAAUCGGAGAGCUUAACUUUCCGAACAUCGGGGACACUGGCAGACUUGGAACCGGGAGAGGUCAGAGGUACUUUCAGGGUAGGGGUGAAAUCCUGUAAUCCUGAGAGGACCACCAGUGGCGAAGGCGUCUGACUAGAACGGAUUCGACGGUGAGGGACGAAGCCCUGGGGCGCAAACCGGAUUAGAUACCCGGGUAGUCCAGGGUGUAAACGCUGCAGACUUGGUGUCGGGAAUCCCACGAGGGUGUCCGGUGCCGGAGAGAAGUUGUUAAGUCUGCCGCUUGGGAAGUACGGUCGCAAGACUG
This 380-nucleotide ribosomal RNA is filed under the name uncultured Thermoplasmata archaeon. RNAcentral describes it as "bacterial SSU rRNA". It matches the Rfam family "Archaeal small subunit ribosomal RNA", at positions 471 to 851 of the family's 1478-position model. Lineage: Archaea; Methanobacteriati; Thermoplasmatota; Thermoplasmata. The record is from RNAcentral.